GAUUAACGCUGGCGGCGUGCAUAACACAUGCAAGUCGAACGAUUAAACUUAGUAGACUUCUUCGUAAAGACACUAAGCGGAUUAGUGUCGAACGGGUGAGUAACGCUUGAGUAACCUGCCUUACACAAGGGGGUAGCCUUUGGAAACGAAGAAUAAGAGCCUAUAAAACCAUAAAAGCACAUUCUAGAAUGGUCAAAGUGAUAGCGGUGUAAGAUGGACUUGCGUCUGAUUAGCUAGUUGGUGAGAUAAAAGCUCACCAAGGCAACGAUCAGUAGCCGGCUCGAGAGAGUGUACGGCCAUAUUGGGACUGAGACCAGUCCCAGACUCUGACGGGAGGCAGCAGUGGUGAACUUUGCACAAUGGGUGAAAGCAUGAUGCCGUGACGCCGUGUGAUUCAGAAGGCCGUCGGGUUGUAAAAAUAUUUUGUAUCGGAAGAAAAUGACAUUACUAUCAGAAUAAGGUCCGGCUAAGUACGUG
This 477-nucleotide ribosomal RNA is filed under the name uncultured bacterium. RNAcentral describes it as "partial 16S ribosomal RNA". It matches the Rfam family "Bacterial small subunit ribosomal RNA", at positions 28 to 507 of the family's 1533-position model. The record is from RNAcentral.